AAUUAAAGAUUAGCAAAUAUGACCAAACAUUCAUCAAAUUUAAUCAAAAUUUCAAAAGAAUUAUGUAAAAAACUCAAAGUCUUCUUAAAAAUCCUUUAAAGAAUCAUAAAGAAAUAAUAUAGAAAUUCAAAAAUAUAUUAAAAUAAAAACCUUAAUUAAAUCUUAAACAUAUCUUAAUCAAACCUUAGUGAAAUCUUAAUCAAAUCCUAACCAAACCCUAACCAAGCCUUAAAUAAAUCUUAGUCAAAUCCUAACAAAUCCUAA
This 264-nucleotide long non-coding RNA is filed under the name Physcomitrium patens. RNAcentral's name for it is "long non-coding RNA (PPAT_LNC005145)". Lineage: Eukaryota; Viridiplantae; Streptophyta; Bryopsida; Funariales; Funariaceae. The record is from RNAcentral.